RNAcentral lists this ribosomal RNA (2245 nucleotides) under activated sludge metagenome. Its description in RNAcentral is "bacterial LSU rRNA". It matches the Rfam family "Bacterial large subunit ribosomal RNA", at positions 14 to 2302 of the family's 2925-position model. The record is from RNAcentral.
AGGGCGCAUGGUGAAUGCCUUGGCUCUCAGAGGCGAUGAAGGACGUGAUAAGCUGCGAAAAGCUCCGGGGAGGUGCAAACAACCUUUGAUCCGGUGAUAUCCGAAUGGGGCAACCCGUCACGCUGAAGGCGUGACAUCUAAAAGAUGCCAACCCAGGGAACUGAAACAUCUAAGUACCUGGAGGAAAAGAAAACAACAGUGAUUCCCCAAGUAGUGGCGAGCGAACGGGGAGAAGCCCAAACCAUGAUUGUUAAGGCAAUCAUGGGGUUGUAGGACUGUAACAUGAAUGUGAAAGCGAAGCUGAAGCUUCUGGAAAGCUGCUCCAUAGAGGGUGAUAGGCCCGUAAGCGUAAGCAAUUGCAUUCUAGCAGUAUCCUGAGUACCGCGAGGUCGGAGACGCCUUGUGGGAAUCUACCGGCACCAUCCGGUAAGGCUAAAUACUCCUGAGAGACCGAUAGUGUACUAGUACUGUGAAGGAAAGGUGAAAAGAACCGCGAACAGCGGAGUGAAAUAGAACCUGAAACCGUGCGCUUACAAGCGGUAGGAGUCCUUCGGGAUGACUGCGUGCCUUUUGCAUAAUGAGCCUACGAGUUACUCCUCACUGGCAAGGUUAAGCCCCUAAGGGGCGCAGCCGAAGCGAAAGCAAGUCUGAAUAGGGCGUAUAGUCAGUGGGGGUAGACGCGAAACCUUGUGAUCUACACAUGGGCAGGAUGAAGGAUGGGUAACACCAUCUGGAGGUCCGAACUGGUGAGCGUUGAAAAGCUCUCGGAUGACCUGUGUGUAGGGGUGAAAGGCUAAUCAAACUGGGAAAUAGCUCGUACUCCCCGAAAUGUCUUUAGGGACAGCGUUGAGUGAAUUGUCAUAGAGGUAGAGCUACUAAUAGGGCUAGGGGGCUUCACCGCCUACCAAACCCUGAUAAACUCCGAAUGCUAAUGACAACUGCUCAGCAGUGAGGCCUGGGGUGCUAACGUCACAGGCCGAGAGGGAAAGAACCCAGACCAUCAGCUAAGGUCCCCAAAUCUAAGUUAAGUUGAUCUAACGUGGUCCGAUUGCAUUGACAGCUAGGAUGUUGGCUUGGAAGCAGCCAUUCAUUUAAAGAGUGCGUAACAGCUCACUAGUCGAGCGAUCGGGCGUGGAUGAUAAACGGGCAUUAAACUUAGUACCGAAGCUAUGGGAUCGAAAGAUCGGUAGGGGAGCAUUCUAGUUGCACCGAAGGUGUGCUGUAAGGCAUGCUGGAGCGGCUAGAAAAGCAAAUGUAGGCAUAAGUAACGAUAAGGCAGGUGAGAAACCUGCCCACCGAAAGACUAAGGUUUCCUGAUCAACGUUAAUCGGAUCAGGGUUAGUCGGAACCUAAGGCUCAUCCGAAUGGAAAUGCCGAUGGCAAACAGGUUAAUAUUCCUGUACUUGUGCAAUCAGUGAAGGGACGACGAAGGAGUGAAAGGUCUGCGUACUGACGGAAAUGUACGUUAAAGCCAGUAGAUUCAGGUGCUGUAGGUAAAUCCGCAGCGCUUAUCGAUGGUGACAGUACCGAGAGUCUUCGGACAAUCGGAUAAUGACCCUAAGCAUACUUCCAAGAAAACUCUCUAAACUUAUGAUUGUACAGUCCGUACCGUAAACCGACACAGGUAGUCGAGAAGAAGAUUCUAAGGUGCUCGAGUGAUUCAUGGCUAAGGAACUCGGCAAAUUAACCCUGUAACUUCGGGAAAAAGGGUGCCCUCUUCGGAGGGUCGCAGAGAAAUGGCUCAGGCGACUGUUUAACAAAAACACAUGGCUAUGCUAAAUCGAAAGAUGAUGUAUAUGGCCUGACACCUGCCCGGUGCUGGAAGGUUAAGAGGAGAUGUCAGUCGCAAGACAAAGCAUUGAAUCGAAGCCCCAGUAAACGGCGGCCGUAACUAUAACGGUCCUAAGGUAGCGAAAUUCCUUGUCGGGUAAGUUCCGACCUGCACGAAUGGUGUAACGAUCUGAGCGCUGUCUCAGUCAUGAGCUCGGUGAAAUUGUAGUAGCGGUGAAGAUGCCGCUUACCCGCAACGGGACGGAAAGACCCCGUGCACCUUCACUACAACUUUGCAUUGAUUCUGGAUAAAUGAUGUGUAGGAUAGGUGGGAGACUUUGAAGCGGUGGCGCCAGCCAUCGUGGAGUCAACCUUGAAAUACCACCCUUCAUUUAUUCGGGAUCUAAUCCCGCCUCGCGGGAGACAUUGCAUGGUGGGUAGUUUGACUGGGGUGGUCGCCUCCAAAAGAGUAACG